CUUACUAUGAUGGCUACUCGGAAACUGAGAAUAUACCCAACUGGACCACAGUGCCUGGCAAUGGCCGUGUGGUUGAAAUGGUUUAUCGCCGUAGGAUAGGACUGCGGCCUAUCAGCUUGUGGUGAGGUAAUGGCCCACCAAGACUAUAACAGGUACGGGCUCUGAGAGGAGGGCCCGGGAUGGUACUGAGACCGGACCCAGGCCCUAUGGGGCGCAGCAGGCGAGAAACCUUUGCAAUGUGCGAAAGC
This 248-nucleotide ribosomal RNA is filed under the name uncultured archaeon. RNAcentral describes it as "partial 16S ribosomal RNA". It matches the Rfam family "Archaeal small subunit ribosomal RNA", at positions 108 to 366 of the family's 1478-position model. The record is from RNAcentral.